RNAcentral lists this ribosomal RNA (884 nucleotides) under uncultured crenarchaeote. RNAcentral describes it as "bacterial SSU rRNA". It matches the Rfam family "Archaeal small subunit ribosomal RNA", at positions 379 to 1266 of the family's 1478-position model. Lineage: Archaea; Thermoproteati; Thermoproteota. The record is from RNAcentral.
CCCCGAGUGCCCCCUUAUGGGGAGCUUUCCCCGCUGCAGGAAGGCGGGGGUAAUAAGUGGGGGGCAAGACUGGUGUCAGCCGCCGCGGUAAUACCAGCCCCACGAGUGGUCGGGACGGUUAUUGGGCCUAAAGCGCCCGUAGCCGGCCCAGCAAGUUCCUGCUAAAAUCACCGGGCUCAACCCGGUGUUUGGUGGGAAUACUGUUGGGCUAGGAGGCGGGAGAGGCCGGGGGUACUCCUAGGGUAGGGGCGAAAUCCUAUAAUCCUAGGAGGACCACCAGUGGCGAAGGCGCCCGGCUGGAACGCGCUCGACGGUGAGGGGCGAAAGCUGGGGGAGCAAACCGGAUUAGAUACCCGGGUAGUCCCAGCUGUAAACGAUGCGGACUAGGUGUUGGACGGACCUAGGGUCCGUCCAGUGCCGCAGGGAAGCCGUUAAGUCCGCCGCCUGGGGAGUACGGCCGCAAGGCUGAAACUUAAAGGAAUUGGCGGGGGAGCACCACAAGGGGUGGAGCCUGCGGCUUAAUUGGAGUCAACGCCGGGAACUUUACCGGGGGCGACAGCAGGAUGACGGCCAGGCUAAUGACCUUGCCUGACGCGCUGAGAGGAGGUGCACGGCCGUCGCCAGCUCGUGCCGUGAGGUGUCUGGUUAAGUCCAGCAACGAGCGAGAUCCCCUGCCCCUAAUUGCUACCUGCUCCUUCGGGAGUAGGGCACAUUAGGGGGACUGCCGGCGUCUAAGCCGGAGGAAGGUGGGGGCCACGGCAGGUCAGCAUGCCCCGAAACCCCCGGGCUGCACGCGGGCUACAAUGGCUGGGACAGCGGGAACCGACCUCGAAAGAGGAAGGUAAUCCCUCAAACCCAGCCGCAGUUGGGAUCGAGGACUGAAA